RNAcentral lists this transfer RNA (74 nucleotides) under Diaporthe longicolla. Its description in RNAcentral is "tRNA-Lys". It matches the Rfam family "tRNA". From Rfam's summary of the family: Transfer RNA (tRNA) molecules are approximately 80 nucleotides in length. Their secondary structure includes four short double-helical elements and three loops (D, anti-codon, and T loops). Lineage: Eukaryota; Fungi; Ascomycota; Sordariomycetes; Diaporthales; Diaporthaceae. The record is from RNAcentral.
AGGGUUCUUAGUAUAAUGGUUAAUACAUGUGGCUUUUAAUCACUAAGAUAUCGGUUCGAAUCCGAUAGAACCUA